This 325-nucleotide ribosomal RNA is filed under the name uncultured bacterium. RNAcentral describes it as "bacterial SSU rRNA". It matches the Rfam family "Bacterial small subunit ribosomal RNA", at positions 28 to 334 of the family's 1533-position model. The record is from RNAcentral.
GACGAACGCUGGCGGCGUGCCUAACACAUGCAAGUCGAACGAGAAGUUCAUUAAUGAUACCUUCGGGUUGAAUUAAUGAAUGGACAGUGGCGGACGGGCGAGUAACGCGUGAGUAACCUGCCCAUAAGUGAGGGAUAGCCCAUGGAAACGUGGAGUAAUACCUCAUAUUGUAUAUUAACUGCAUGGUUGAUAUAUGAAAGAUUUAUCGCUUAUGGAUGGACUCGCGUCUGAUUAGAUAGUUGGUGAGGUAACGGCUCACCAAGUCGACGAUCAGUAGCCGAACUGAGAGGUUGAUCGGCCGCAUUGGGACUGAGACACGGCCCAG